UACGUAGGGUGCGAGCGUUGUCCGGAAUUACUGGGCGUAAAGAGCUCGUAGGUGGUUUGUCGCGUUGUUCGUGAAAACUCACAGCUCAACUGUGGGCGUGCGGGCGAUACGGGCAGACUAGAGUACUGCAGGGGAGACUGGAAUUCCUGGUGUAGCGGUGGAAUGCGCAGAUAUCAGGAGGAACACCGGUGGCGAAGGCGGCUCUCUGGAACGCAACUGACGCUGAGACGCGAAAGCGUGGGGAGCAAACAGG
RNAcentral lists this ribosomal RNA (253 nucleotides) under uncultured bacterium. RNAcentral's name for it is "partial 16S ribosomal RNA". It matches the Rfam family "Bacterial small subunit ribosomal RNA", at positions 524 to 776 of the family's 1533-position model. The record is from RNAcentral.